Molecule: long non-coding RNA, 690 nt
Filed under: Nicotiana benthamiana
Lineage: Eukaryota; Viridiplantae; Streptophyta; Magnoliopsida; Solanales; Solanaceae
Description: long non-coding RNA (NBEN_LNC030430)
Source: RNAcentral
CCGCCUUUGUAUCCCCUCACUCCCCAAAACGCUCUUAACCCCUUCUGAACCCUAACCCUUCUCCGGCUCCGUUUCACUGGAGACUAUGAUUUUUCAAGCUCUAAGGCACCUGUAUUCACCUCUCCCUACCGUAUAUGGCCCUUUUGUUCGAAGAUUGAAGCCCUAUCUUGGAUAUUAUCGACUCGUAGGUCCUUCAACUUGAGUUUUACGGCCAUGACCGGUCUCUCUCUGGAAAGCCUUGAUGUUGUGAGUCCAUUGAUGACUCAGAAUCAGUCCAUUCCGGGGUUUCUCGUGUCUCUGUGGUUCUCUCUCUGAAACCCUAAUUUUCAAGUUUUUCUCUGUGUUUAUCUUUACGAUCUUCUCUAGAUCCUAGCUAUUUUCUAAAGUUUCAAAGUAUUUCUUACAUUUCUUCGUCGACUUUUUUUUCAAACUGUUCGUCUUCCUAAAAUUUAGGGUUUCUUCAAUUUCUUUGCUUUAUCUGCUCUAUUGUGAUUUCUUUUAGGCUUAACUGUGAUUUCUGAGUAUUUUCUACUAUGGCUCCUAUGUAUUUUCUUUACUGUGCUAUUUCUAGGGUUUCCGUGUAAUUUUACUAGGUUCUCUAUUUUUCUUUAUGUUGUUCUUACUAAAUUUAUCUUCAUAUGUGCUCGAUAUGUGAUGAAAACCCUAGGUUUUAGCAGAUUUGCGUUUCUC